GAGAGAGAGAGAGAGAGAGAGAGAGAGAGAGAGAGAGAGAACCAGAUUUUUAUAAAAAAUCCCAUUUUGAAAUAUUUACGGUUGUGCCACUGGGUUUCUUUUGACCAUAUCUCUCUCGUUACAACUCCGAUUCGAGCCCACUACGUGUCUAUGAACUCGUCUCAGCACGACCUAUCCAAAAAUACAAGUCACGGUCCUAAACUCUCUCCGGCUAAAAAUAUGACUAAAAUACCCUUAAAUAAUUAAAUAAUUAAAUACAGGUUAAAUUUGGGGAAAUUUGGGGUCGGGGUGUUACUCUCUCUCUCUCUCUCUCUCUCUCUCUCUCUCUCUCUCAUCUAAUUU
This 342-nucleotide microRNA precursor is filed under the name Prunus dulcis (almond). RNAcentral's name for it is "sRNA ncRNA". The record is from RNAcentral. Lineage: Eukaryota; Viridiplantae; Streptophyta; Magnoliopsida; Rosales; Rosaceae.